RNAcentral lists this long non-coding RNA (337 nucleotides) under Coturnix japonica (Japanese quail). RNAcentral describes it as "lncRNA (ENSCJPG00005016114.1)". Lineage: Eukaryota; Metazoa; Chordata; Aves; Galliformes; Phasianidae. The record is from RNAcentral.
UAAAUCAUGUUCUGAACGAGCCAAGCAAAAGUAUUUAGCUUUGUAAUCCUAAACAGUAUGAUUUCCCAGAGUGAAUUUUCCUAAUUGAGUUGAUAAUUUUUGUUCAUACCAUACAGGUCCCUGCUUCCCAGCUGGGAUGUUUGAAUGCUGCUCAGGGAAAAAACUGAAAUACUUUGAAAGAUGGAUAAAGGAGUAGUCCAUGAACUUGAUGCAACAAGAGUAAUUUAUAAGGCUGAGAAAAGAAGUAAUAAAACUCCUUCAGCGAUUCUGUAGAACCUAUUGCAUGGAGUGCAGACCCUCUGAACUUCCUCAGGAUGAGUAGACUGGCACUGUGACC